UGCGCCAUGGCUUAGUGGUAAAGCACCUGUCUAGUACACAGGAGAUCCUGGGUUCGAUCCCCAGUGGUGCCU
Non-coding RNA from Ciona savignyi (Pacific transparent sea squirt), 72 nucleotides. NCBI's taxonomy places the organism in Eukaryota, Metazoa, Chordata, Ascidiacea, Phlebobranchia, Cionidae. The record is from Rfam.